RNAcentral lists this ribosomal RNA (460 nucleotides) under uncultured bacterium. RNAcentral's name for it is "partial 16S ribosomal RNA". It matches the Rfam family "Bacterial small subunit ribosomal RNA", at positions 338 to 795 of the family's 1533-position model. The record is from RNAcentral.
CCUACGGGUGGCAGCAGUGAGGAAUAUUGGUCAAUGGGCGCAAGCCUGAACCAGCCAAGUCGCGUGAGGGAUGACGGUCCUAUGGAUUGUAAACCUCUUUUGUCGGGGAGCAAGGCCCGCCACGUGUGGCGUGAAGGAGAGUACCCGAAGAAAAAGCAUCGGCUAACCCCGUGCCAUCAGCCGCGGUAAUACGGAGGAUGCGAGCGUUAUCCGGAUUUAUUGGGUUUAAGGGGUGCGUAGGCGGAAGGUUAAGUCAGCGGUCAAAUGUCGGUGCUCAACACCGGCCUGCCGUUGAAACUGGUCGUCUUGAGUGAGCGAGAGGUAUGCGGAAUGCGUGGUGUAGCGGUGAAAUGCAUAGAUAUCACGCAGAACUCCGAUUGCGAAGGCAGCAUACCGGCGCUCAACUGACGCUGAGGCACGAAAGCGUGGGGAUCGAACAGGAUUAGAUACCCGGGUAGUC